RNAcentral lists this ribosomal RNA (1369 nucleotides) under uncultured bacterium. RNAcentral's name for it is "bacterial SSU rRNA". It matches the Rfam family "Bacterial small subunit ribosomal RNA", at positions 28 to 1381 of the family's 1533-position model. The record is from RNAcentral.
GACGAACGCUGGCGGCGUGCCUAAUACAUGCAAGUAGAACGCUGAAGGGAGGAGCUUGCUCUUCUUGGAUGAGUUGCGAACGGGUGAGUAACGCGUAGGUAACCUGCCUUGUAGCGGGGGAUAACUAUUGGAAACGAUAGCUAAUACCGCAUAACAAUGGAUGACCCAUGUCAUUUAUUUGAAAGGGGCAAAUGCUCCACUACAAGAUGGACCUGCGUUGUAUUAGCUAGUAGGUGAGGUAACGGCUCACCUAGGCGACGAUACAUAGCCGACCUGAGAGGGUGAUCGGCCACACUGGGACUGAGACACGGCCCAGACUCCUACGGGAGGCAGCAGUAGGGAAUCUUCGGCAAUGGGGGCAACCCUGACCGAGCAACGCCGCGUGAGUGAAGAAGGUUUUCGGAUCGUAAAGCUCUGUUGUAAGUCAAGAACGAGUGUGAGAGUGGAAAGUUCACACUGUGACGGUAGCUUACCAGAAAGGGACGGCUAACUACGUGCCAGCAGCCGCGGUAAUACGUAGGUCCCGAGCGUUGUCCGGAUUUAUUGGGCGUAAAGCGAGCGCAGGCGGUUUGAUAAGUCUGAAGUUAAAGGCUGUGGCUCAACCAUAGUUCGCUUUGGAAACUGUCAAACUUGAGUGCAGAAGGGGAGAGUGGAAUUCCAUGUGUAGCGGUGAAAUGCGUAGAUAUAUGGAGGAACACCGGUGGCGAAAGCGGCUCUCUGGUCUGUAACUGACGCUGAGGCUCGAAAGUGUGGGGAGCGAACAGGAUUAGAUACCCUGGUAGUCCACGCCGUAAACGAUGAGUGCUAGGUGUUGGAUCCUUUCCGGGAUUCAGUGCCGCAGCUAACGCAUUAAGCACUCCGCCUGGGGAGUACGACCGCAAGGUUGAAACUCAAAGGAAUUGACGGGGGCCCGCACAAGCGGUGGAGCAUGUGGUUUAAUUCGAAGCAACGCGAAGAACCUUACCAGGUCUUGACAUCCCGAUGCUAUUUCUAGAGAUAGGAAGUUACUUCGGUACAUCGGUGACAGGUGGUGCAUGGUUGUCGUCAGCUCGUGUCGUGAGAUGUUGGGUUAGGUCCCGCAACGAGCGCAACCCCUAUUGUUAGUUGCCAUCAUUCAGUUGGGCACUCUAGCAAGACUGCCGGUAAUAAACCGGAGGAAGGUGGGGAUGACGUCAAAUCAUCAUGCCCCUUAUGACCUGGGCUACACACGUGCUACAAUGGUUGGUACAACGAGUUGCGAGUCGGUGACGGCGAGCUAAUCUCUUAAAGCCAAUCUCAGUUCGGAUUGUAGGCUGCAACUCGCCUACAUGAAGUCGGAAUCGCUAGUAAUCGCGGAUCAGCACGCCGCGGUGAAUACGUUCCCGGGCCU